UGCCUAUAUUAACAAAAAAUAGUAACAAACGUUUGAUAAAAAUACAGUUCAUUAUGUAAGUGUCCCCAACAAAACAAACGUCGUACAUAAUCAAAGUUUAUAUUUAAAAACCUCAACUUAGGGUCUCACUCAGCUAAACAUCUUUAUACACACAGUUUGGUGGAUCUUGCAUAGGGAAAGCUCCCUUUGUACGAAAUACUCACCGGGCGUGUUUUAGCAUUACCGUGACCACCGGUUCCCUACCGGGUCCCACCGGGCCCCGCCGGGCGUGUUUUAGUAGGACCGCACAAUGUUGCACGUUGCUGGACUUUAAACUUCGCCUACAUUUGAUGGCGUUAACAUUAUAUAACCUGAACAUGUGUCGAAAUCAUUCAAUUGAAAGUGAUGAUGAAAUUCUGAAGGCGAUUUUACUGCUAAAUAAACUACUGCCAUCAGUAAAUAUUAAAAAGCAGAAAUCAGGAGAGCAAACAGUUGUGAUAUUGUUAGGGGUGAGUUUAAUUAAUCAUGUGUGGUUACAGUAGAUGCGGAGUCAUUUGCAAAAGAGAAGCCCCCAGGAAUGACUACCGUUUCUUCUAGCUGUGGGAAAAGGGAGAAAACCUGAUGAGUAUUUUCUUAUUUCUGAUUCUACAGAAAUAACACUUGAGACAAGACGUUUUGACUGCAUUUUACCGACUUUUUUUAUCGUUCUGGGUGUUUGAUGUACAUUAUUACUACUGUAAAUUAUCUUCUUUCUACAACUUUUGGGACUGCCUCUUACUAAGAAAAAAGCCUCAUUGUACUGUUCGGUCCUUGCUUGCUGCAUUAGAUUUUGUCCACCAGCUUUUUGAAGCAACCGCCGUCAAA
Molecule: non-coding RNA, 843 nt
Organism: Ciona intestinalis (vase tunicate)
Lineage: Eukaryota; Metazoa; Chordata; Ascidiacea; Phlebobranchia; Cionidae
Source: RefSeq, a predicted model, not a curated record